Molecule: ribosomal RNA, 387 nt
Filed under: Triticum aestivum (bread wheat)
Lineage: Eukaryota; Viridiplantae; Streptophyta; Magnoliopsida; Poales; Poaceae
Description: partial small subunit ribosomal RNA
Source: RNAcentral
AUGAGGCGGCUGCCGCGGGCGGAGGUGGCCUCCAUCCUCUCCAGCCGGAUCCAUCCCGAUCGCGCCCCUUCCUGCUACAAGGCGCUGAAGCUCCAGAACCCGGACCUGAUUCCCUCGCCGGAAGAGGAGAUGGACGAGCUCAAGGUGGCAGAGUAUGCUGAUGCGCGCGACUUCUAUGAGGCUGCAGAGGAAUUCUCAAUAUUCCAGGCGUGGGUGCGGAGCGAGUACGCCAAGUAUGGCUACGUCGAGGUUGACGACGACUACCUCGCUCACCGGGAACAGGUUCGAGCUUGUAGCGAUAGAGCGCGGGAGGCUGCGCUCGAAGCGAUCGACUUCUCUGAUGGAGACGAAGACCUGAAGAUAUUUUUUAGGAACAGACAGCACUGA